Non-coding RNA from Ictidomys tridecemlineatus (thirteen-lined ground squirrel), 803 nucleotides. NCBI's taxonomy places the organism in Eukaryota, Metazoa, Chordata, Mammalia, Rodentia, Sciuridae. The record is from RefSeq and is a predicted model, not a curated record.
AGGGCUCUGCUGGGAGACACUUCAGCUGGGGUUACACAGUAGUGUUCCGCUGACAGCGAGGCUGGUCUGUUAUCCUAUCACUGUUAUCCUAUUAUUGAGGAUCCUGUCCUGUGAUCACUUAAAUGCUUGGCACCCUGGUGGAAACAGCAAAGGCUGAAUUCAGCUGGACAACUGUCCCUCUCCAUGGACUUCUCCAGCAGGGGAAUCGGACUUACCACACAAUGGCUAUCUGCCACCCACCUAGAUGUCCAUAAUUUUUGAAAAACUAGUCUGAAGAGGAACAGCUUUGUCCAAGCAUCCAGGAUGCCAAUGUCACUGGCUAAGAGUUAUGGAUUUCCUUGUGAUGGAGCAGGGAUGGAGGGAGAGAAAGUGAGAGGACUCUAGCAUGGACUGGAUAUAUGUGUGGAUCAGACACUUUCUGGCAUGUCCACAAGAGUCAUGUCCCCUAACCUCUGCAACACACCUCAGCGGUUGUGCAUAACAUUAGCCCCGUUUUCAGUGGAAGAAAUGCAGAUGGUAGGACAGACAAACCUGAAUUGGAAUCUAAGCUCUGAAACUCUUGCUGUCCGACUCUGGGGUAGGCCUUUCCCUGCCUAAGCCUGUUUCCAUUAGGUGAGGCAGCACCUACUGACAACACUGUGGACUGCAUGACCUAACACCAUGUAAAAGGGCUUCGUCAGGUAAUGCACAGAAAAUGUGAAUUUGUUCACUCCCAAGUGGACAGCUGGUUGAAAGCAGGAACUGAAUGGAGAGGGGGAGAAUAUGGGGGUAUGCAGGAGAAGUAUUCCUGAGCACCAGGAUGC